Molecule: long non-coding RNA, 1002 nt
Organism: Ctenopharyngodon idella (grass carp)
Lineage: Eukaryota; Metazoa; Chordata; Actinopteri; Cypriniformes; Xenocyprididae
Exons: 3
Source: RefSeq, a predicted model, not a curated record
GUGGGAUAUAAAAAUUCCUCAUGACUCAGUGACCUCAUAGUGUUAAAUGAUAUUAAUAAACCACAACAAAUGACGUCACGACCAAUAAGAGAAGGUUCAGCAAAAUUUCCUUUCUCCAGAUCCUCAGAAAAAGAUCAGUCUCUGCUCUGCACACCCUCUCCACGGGCCUCUCUCCAGCUCAGAUGAUGAUGGAAAGCAGAAGAAUGCCGGAAUGUGGAGGGAGAUGAUAAUCCUGGUUGCUCAUCGCAACGUUUAGAUUCCCAACACAGCAUGAUGGGAACAUGAAGUCUUUCGUGGCGCUCCAGACAUGGAAAUGACGUAGUAAGUAUAGACCAGCUUUCAUUAAUGUUUGAUGAGGAAGAAGGCUGGUGAUAUUUUUAAUACAGGGACACUCAGUACUGCUAAAACUGUUCAUGCACCAAAGAUACGCUCGGACGUACAGGUUGUGAGGAAAGAGACGUGGAAUGUUUGUGUGGGUUUUCGAGGUGUGUGUGUGUGCGUUUAUGUGUAAGGAAUGCUGCCAGACUAGCUGGUACACUUCGCUUUGAGGACUCUACAUUCCCCUGGCUCUCCCACAUCCCUCAGCAGGUUACCAGACCCAUGCCGCCAGCCGUCAGCCUCUCAGCUGCCUACCCAGCAUUCCACAGGCUUUAGCUUAAAGAAAAAAAAGAAUUCCUGGCAUGGUAUGAUUGGCCUCUAGCUUGAAGCUAAUGCCCUCUGUACUGUCACACAACUCAUACGAACAGGCCAAGCGACAGGGAAUCGCUGACUAGUCAUGACAUAUGCGUAUUUGUUGCGGGAAAUUUAAGGAUGCCCACCUGUGCAUGACCUGAACAUGUAGUCUCGAUUUACUAUAUUCCUCUCUGCAGCUGUUUUGAAUUAUUUUUUGGCUUUCUGAUCAAUAAGUCCUUGCCACCUUCCCAGACUGGCAUCGUUUUAGUCAGUAUGAUGGAGAUACAUUAAUAUUGGCCACUGGCCUCCCAUCUGAAAUCUGAGAGCUCA